AUCUUGUCGGGUAAGUUCCGACCUGCACGAAUGGCGUAACGACUUCUCAACUGUCUCAACCAUAGACUCGGCGAAAUUGCACUACGAGUAAAGAUGCUCGUUACGCGCGGCAGGACGGAAAGACCCCGGGACCUUCACUAUAGCUUGGUAUUGGCGUUUGGUUCGGUUUGUGUAGGAUAGGUGGGAGACUGUGAAGCAGGCACGCCAGUGUUUGUGGAGUCAUCGUUGAAAUACCACUCUGAUCGUAUUGAACCUCUAACCUCGGACCGUAUAUCCGGUCCAGGGACAGUGCCUGGUGGGUAGUUUAACUGGGGCGGUUGCCUCCCAAAAUGUAACGGAGGCGCCCAAAGGUUCCCUCAACCUGGACGGCAAUCAGGUGUUGAGUGCAAGUGCACAAGGGAGCUUGACUGCGAGACCUACAAGUCAAGCAGGGACGAAAGUCGGGACUAGUGAUCCGGCACCUCUGAGUGGAAGGGGUGUCGCUCAACGGAUAAAAGGUACCCCGGGGAUAACAGGCUGAUCUUCCCCAAGAGUCCAUAUCGACGGGAUGGUUUGGCACCUCGAUGUCGGCUCGUCGCAUCCUGGGGCUGGAGCAGGUCCCAAGGGUUGGGCUGUUCGCCCAUUAAAGCGGCACGCGAGCUGGGUUUAGAACGUCGUGAGACAGUUCGGUCUCUAUCCGCCGCGCGCGUCAGAAACUUGAGGAAACCUGUCCCUAGUACGAGAGGACCGGGACGGACGAACCUCUGGUGUACCAGUUGUUCCACCA
This 766-nucleotide ribosomal RNA is filed under the name Mycobacteroides abscessus subsp. abscessus. RNAcentral's name for it is "bacterial LSU rRNA". It matches the Rfam family "Bacterial large subunit ribosomal RNA", at positions 1966 to 2731 of the family's 2925-position model. The record is from RNAcentral. Lineage: Bacteria; Bacillati; Actinomycetota; Actinomycetes; Mycobacteriales; Mycobacteriaceae.